AGAGUUUGAUCCUGGCUCAGAGCGAACGCUGGCGGCAGGCCUAACACAUGCAAGUCGAGCGGGCACCGCAAGGUGUCAGCGGCAGACGGGAGAGUAACACGUGGGAACGUGCCCUUCGGUUCGGAAUAACUCGGGGAAACUCGUGCUAAUACCGAAUACGCCCUUACGGGGAAAGAUUUAUCGCCGAUGGAGCGGCCCGCGUCUGAUUAGCUAGUUGGUGAGGUAACGGCUCACCAAGGCGACGAUCAGUAGCUGGUCUGAGAGGAUGAUCAGCCUCACUGGGACUGAGACACGGCCCAGACUCCUACGGGAGGCAGCAGUGGGGAAUAUUGGACAAUGGGCGCAAGCCUGAUCCAGCCCAUGCCGCGUGGAUGAUGAAAGGCCUUAGGGUUGUAAAGUCCUCUUAACGGGGGAAGAUAAUGACGGGUACCCCGUAAAAAAAAGCCCCCGGCUAACUUUCGUGGCCAGCAGCCCGCCGGUAAAUACCAAAGGGGGCUAGCGUUUGCUUCGGAAUUUACUGGGGGGUAAAAGCGCACGUAAGCGGGUUCUUUAAGUCCGGGGGUGAAAUCCUGGGAACUCAACUCCCAGAACUGGCCUUUCAUACUGUAGAGCCUUGGACGAUCAGGAUGAGGUGAAGUGGAACUUGCGACGUCUAGAGCUGACAACUUCCGAGUAGAUAUCGGCAGGACCAACCAGUCGCGAAAGGCGUCUCACUUGGGCCCGGAUACUGACACCGGGAGGUGCGAAACGCGUGGGGGCAGCCACAACAGGGUAUUAGAAUACCCGUGGGUGAGUCCCACCGCUGUAAAACAGAAUGAAUUUGUUACGACCCUGUUUGUUCAAGCGCUUGCCCUUGUCCCAUGUGGGCGCAGCUAUACCGCAUUUAACGCAAUUCCGCGCUUGGGGAGAUACGGUUCGCCAAGAUUAUAAAACUUCAAAGGGAAAUGGACGGGGGGCCCCGCCACAAAGCCGGGUGAGACCAUUGUGGGUGUCUAUUUCGAGAUACGCACACACGGCGAAAGAAACCCUAACCCAGCCCCUGACACAUGUUCUUUUAAUGAGAUUCCCAGAGGACGAGAUGUCCUUUCCACCUUCGGGGUGGGGAGGAAACACCCAGGUUGCUGGCCAUGGCUGUCCGUCAGCCUCCGUGUCCGUGAGGAUGGUUUGGGUUAAGUCCCCGCCAACGAGCGCAACCCUCGGGCCUUAGUGGCCAUCAUUUAGUUGGGCACUCUAAGGCGACUGCCCGGUGAUAAGCCGGAGGAAGGUGGGGAUGACGUCAAGUCCUCAUGGCCCUUACGGGCUGGGCUACACACGUGCUACAAUGGCGGUGACAGAGGGAUGCAAAGGCGCAAGCCUUCGCAAAUCUCAAAAAGCCGUCUCAGUUCGGAUUGGGGUCUGCAACUCGACCCCAUGAAGCUGGAAUCGCUAGUAAUCGCGGAUCAGCACGCCGCGGUGAAUACGUUCCCGGGCCUUGUACACACCGCCCGUCACACCAUGGGAGUUGGGUUUACCUUAAGACGGUGCGCUAACCCGCAAGGGGAGCAGCCGGCCACGGUAGGCUCAGCGACUGGGGUGAAGUCGUAACAAGGUAACC
This 1594-nucleotide ribosomal RNA is filed under the name uncultured bacterium. RNAcentral's name for it is "bacterial SSU rRNA". It matches the Rfam family "Bacterial small subunit ribosomal RNA". The record is from RNAcentral.